This 496-nucleotide ribosomal RNA is filed under the name uncultured bacterium. RNAcentral describes it as "partial 16S ribosomal RNA". It matches the Rfam family "Bacterial small subunit ribosomal RNA", at positions 28 to 507 of the family's 1533-position model. The record is from RNAcentral.
GAUGAACGCUGGCGGCGUGCCUAAUACAUGCAAGUCGAGCGAACAGAUGAGGAGCUUGCUCCUCUGACGUUAGCGGCGGACGGGUGAGUAACACGUGGAUAACCUACCUAUAAGACUGGGAUAACUUCGGGAAACCGGAGCUAAUACCGGAUAAUAUAUUGAACCGCAUGGUUCAAUAGUGAAAGACGGUUUUGCUGUCACUUAUAGAUGGAUCCGCGCCGCAUUAGCUAGUUGGUAAGGUAACGGCUUACCAAGGCAACGAUGCGUAGCCGACCUGAGAGGGUGAUCGGCCACACUGGAACUGAGACACGGUCCAGACUCCUACGGGAGGCAGAGUAGGGAAUCUUCCGCAAUGGGCGAAAGCCUGACGGAGCAACGCCGCGUGAGUGAUGAAGGUCUUCGGAUCGUAAAACUCUGUUAUUAGGGAAGAACAAAUGUGUAAGUAACUAUGCACGUCUUGACGGUACCUAAUCAGAAAGCCACGGCUAACUACGUG